AGAUAAGCCCCCCAACUUGCAACCCCACAGCCGGUGUCGAUUGCUGUCCUGAUGCUGCCAUCAGUGAGAGGGAUGAGCGCGUUGAUGUCGUCGACAUAUGCGUCAGCGCCCCGGGGGAACAUGGUCCCGCCACCAGGGAACCGGAAGCGGUUGCCCUCAACUUGGAUCCAGUUCUGCACCGCCUUCUCGAUGCUGAGCUCUCUAUGAGGGAUAUUAUCGUACCACGCAUAAUCUCGG
Molecule: unclassified non-coding RNA, 237 nt
Filed under: Hevea brasiliensis (rubber tree)
Lineage: Eukaryota; Viridiplantae; Streptophyta; Magnoliopsida; Malpighiales; Euphorbiaceae
Source: RNAcentral